UGGGGAAUAUUGCACAAUGGGCGGAAGCCUGAUGCAGCAACGCCGCGUGAGGGAUGACGGCCUUCGGGUUGUAAACCUCUUUUAGCAGGGAAGAAGCGAGAGUGACGGUACCUGCAGAAAAAGCGCCGGCUAACUACGUGCCAGCAGCCGCGGUAAUACGUAGGGCGCAAGCGUUAUCCGGAAUUAUUGGGCGUAAAGAGCUCGUAGGCGGUUUGUCGCGUCUGCUGUGAAAUCCCGAGGCUCAACCUCGGGCCUGCAGUGGGUACGGGCAGACUAGAGUGCGGUAGGGAGAUUGGAAUUCCUGGUGUAGCGGUGGAAUGCGCAGAUAUCAGGAGGAACACCGAUGGCGAAGGCAGAUCUCUGGGCCGUAACUGACGCUGAGGAGCGAAAGGGUGGGGAGCAAACAGGCUUAGAUACCCUGGUAGUCCACCCCGUAAACGUUGGGAACUAGUUGUGGGGACCAUUCCACGGUUUCCGUGACGCAGCUAACGCAUUAAGUUCCCCGCCUGGGGAGUACGGCCGCAAGGCUAAAACUU
This 536-nucleotide ribosomal RNA is filed under the name uncultured bacterium. Its description in RNAcentral is "partial 16S ribosomal RNA". It matches the Rfam family "Bacterial small subunit ribosomal RNA", at positions 355 to 902 of the family's 1533-position model. The record is from RNAcentral.